Molecule: ribosomal RNA, 484 nt
Filed under: uncultured bacterium
Lineage: Bacteria
Description: partial 16S ribosomal RNA
Rfam family: Bacterial small subunit ribosomal RNA
Source: RNAcentral
GAUGAACGCUGGCGGCGUGCUUAACACAUGCAAGUCGAACGGUGAAGCAGGAGCUUGCUCUUGUGGAUCAGUGGCGAACGGGUGAGUAACACGUGAGCAACCUGCCCCUGACACUGGGAUAAGCGCUGGAAACGGCGUCUAAUACUGGAUAUGUGAUGUGACCGCAUGGUCUGCAUCUGGAAAGAAUUUCGGUUGGGGAUGGGCUCGCGGCCUAUCAGCUUGUUGGUGAGGUAAUGGCUCACCAAGGCGUCGACGGGUAGCCGGCCUGAGAGGGUGACCGGCCACACUGGGACUGAGACACGGCCCAGAGUCCUACGGGAGGCAGCAGUGGGGAAUAUUGCACAAUGGGCGGAAGCCUGAUGCAGCAACGCCGCGUGAGGGAUGACGGCCUUCGGGUUGUAAACCUCUUUUAGCAGGGAAGAAGCGAAAGUGACGGUACCUGCAGAAAAAGCACCGGCUAACUACGUGCCAGCAGCCGCGGUAA